AAAUGGGACCAACCUUGAUGAAUAUGUGGCU
Molecule: non-coding RNA, 31 nt
Filed under: Homo sapiens (human)
Lineage: Eukaryota; Metazoa; Chordata; Mammalia; Primates; Hominidae
Source: RNAcentral